This 294-nucleotide ribosomal RNA is filed under the name uncultured bacterium. RNAcentral's name for it is "partial 16S ribosomal RNA". It matches the Rfam family "Bacterial small subunit ribosomal RNA", at positions 773 to 1060 of the family's 1533-position model. The record is from RNAcentral.
GUGGAUUAGAUACCCUGGUAGUCCUGGCCGUAAACGAUGUCGACUAGAUCGCAGUUCCUUCAACGGUAUUGCGGUCGAAGCAAAAGUGCUAAGUCGACCGCCUGGGAAGUACGGUCGCAAGGCUAAAACUCAAAGAAAUUGACGGGGGCUCACACAAGCGGUGGAGCAUGUGGUUCAAUUCGAAGCAACGCGCAGAACCUUACCUGGGCUUGACAUGCUAGGAUUAUCCCUAUGAAAGUAGGGUAGGCCCUUCGGGGUACAACUAGUACAGGUGCUGCACGGCUGUCGUCAACU